RNAcentral lists this ribosomal RNA (917 nucleotides) under uncultured archaeon. RNAcentral's name for it is "bacterial SSU rRNA". It matches the Rfam family "Archaeal small subunit ribosomal RNA", at positions 1 to 923 of the family's 1478-position model. The record is from RNAcentral.
UUCCGGUUGAUCCUGCCGGAGGCUACCGCUAUUGGAGUUCGAUUAAGCCAUGCGAGUCGAGAGUCUUAGGGACUCGGCGUACCGCUCAGUAACACGUGGGUAACCUGCCCUAUGCUGGGGAAUAACCUCGGGAAACUGAGAAUAAUGCCCCAUAGUCCACUACGCCUGGAACGGUGAGUGGAUGAAAGCUCCGGCGGCAUAGGAUGGGCCUGCGCCGUAUCAGGUUGUAGGGGGUGUAAAGUACCCUCUAGCCAUCAACGCGUACGGGUGUUGGGAGACAUUGCCCGGAGAUGGAUUCUGAGACACGAAUCCAGACCCUACGGGGUGCAGCAGGCGCGAAAACUUGGCAAUGCGAGCAAUCGUGACCAGGGAACUCCAAGUGCUUGGGGUAAGACCCAAGCUUUUCUUGACUCUUCAAAGGUCUUGGAAUAAGGGGUGGGUAAGGACGGUGCCAGCCGCCGCGGUAAUACCGGCGCCUCAAGUGGUAGUCGCUUUUAUUGGGCCUAAAACGUCCGUAGCCGGUCUGGUGCAUUCGUGGGUAAAUCAACCCGCUCAACGGGUUGAAUUCUGCGAGCACGGCCAGACUUGGGACCGGGAGAGGUGUGGGGUACUCUCAGGGUAGGGGUAAAAUCCUGUCAUCCUGAGAGGACCACCUGUUGCGAAGGCGCCACACUAGAACGGAUCCGACGGUCAGGGACGAAACCUAGGGGCACGAACCGGAUUAGAUACCCGGGUAGUCCUAGGUGUAAACGCUGUGGACUUGAUGUUGGGGACGCUCCGAGCGCUUUCAGUGUCGAAGCGAAGGGUGAUAAGUCCACUGCCUGGGGAGUACGGUCGCAAGGCUGAAACUUAAAGGAAUUGGCGGGGGAGCACUGCAACCUGAGGAUUGUGCGGUUUAAUUGGAUUCAACGCCCGGA